UUUAUUGAGCUGGUGUUAAUAGGAGGUGAAGAGGGAAGCACAUGUUUUCCAUGGACAGAAGGAUCAAUGCUAAAACAGCAAAAGAAACUUAUGUGAUAAGCUCAGCUGAUAGGCUAACAGACAACAAUUUGGAACAAAAUUGACGUGCAAUUGUGGACCAUACAACGUGUUAAAGAUCUCAACCUUUACGAUACUAUUGAAUAAGAAUGUCUCCUUACUUCGGAUCGAGAGAGAGCUUAGUAUUAAAAGCUAAACCCCGGCCCUCACUCCAUUGAAAACUUUUCCAUCAACGAAAAUAGCUUAAAGCUUAGCCCAGGAACUUUCAUGGUGGGUCCAAAAGACAAUGCCCAAGGGCAUUAAACCUUUUACAGGACCCACAAAAUUUCAAGAUCCCAAUGAUUUUUAUCCUUCAUUUUUUAUUUUCUUUUUGGGCUAUCCUCUCCAAUAUUGAAAGGUUGUGAUUGGUCAAGUUCUUUUUUGCGGGUUUCUAAUUUGUUGUUGGAGAGAAUGAUACCAGAAUUAUCCCUUCAGAUGCUUGGACUUGGGACUCCCUGAGAAGGAUAUUCCUCCAGGAAGAAACAAAUAAUAGCAACUUGCAAGCUGCCAAUAUUUAU
This 614-nucleotide long non-coding RNA is filed under the name Theobroma cacao (cacao). RNAcentral describes it as "long non-coding RNA (TCAC_LNC003398)". Lineage: Eukaryota; Viridiplantae; Streptophyta; Magnoliopsida; Malvales; Malvaceae. The record is from RNAcentral.